GACAGAGGCCACAAGCGUUAGGCGGAAUCACUGGGCUUAAAGCGCGUGUAGGCGGAUGCCUAAGUGCCUUGUGAAAUCCCACGGCUUAACCGUGGAACUGCUGGGCAUACUGGGUGUCUUGAGGUGUCUAGGGGUCGCUGGAACAAACGGUGGAGCGGUGAAAUGCGUAGAUAUCAGGAAGAACACCCGUGGCUAAGGCGGUUCUCUAGUACGGUACUGACGCUGAGACGCGAAAGCGUGGGGAGCGAACAGG
RNAcentral lists this ribosomal RNA (253 nucleotides) under uncultured bacterium. Its description in RNAcentral is "partial 16S ribosomal RNA". It matches the Rfam family "Bacterial small subunit ribosomal RNA", at positions 524 to 776 of the family's 1533-position model. The record is from RNAcentral.